GUGACUGCGUACCUUUUGUAUAAUGGGUCAGCGACUUAUAUUCUGUAGCAAGGUUAACCGAAUAGGGGAGCCGGAGGGAAACCGAGUCUUAAUUGGGCGUUAAGUUGCAGGGUAUAGACCCGAAACCCGGUGAUCUAGCCAUGGGCAGGUUGAAGGUUGGGUAACACUAACUGGAGGACCGAACCGACUAAUGUUGAAAAAUUAGCGGAUGACCUGUGGCUGGGGGUGAAAGGCCAAUCAAACCGGGAGAUAGCUGGUUCUCCCCGAAAGCUAUUUAGGUAGCGCCUCGUGAAUUCAUCUCCGGGGGUAGAGCACUGUUUCGGCUAGGGGGCCAUCCCGGCUUACCAACCCGAUGCAAACUGCGAAUACCGGAGAAUGUUAUCACGGGAGACACACGGCGGGUGCUAACGUCCGUCGUGAAGAGGGAAACAACCCAGACCGCCAGCUAAGGUCCCAAAGUCAUGGUUAAGUGGGAAACGAUGUGGGAAGGCCCAGACAGCCAGGAUGUUGGCUUAGAAGCAGCCAUCAUUUAAAGAAAGCGUAAUAGCUCACUGGUCGAGUCGGCCUGCGCGGAAGAUGUAACGGGGCUAAACCAUGCACCGAAGCUGCGGCAGCGACACUCAGGUGUUGUUGGGUAGGGGAGCGUUCUGUAAGCCUGUGAAGGUGGCCUGUGAGGGUUGCUGGAGGUAUCAGAAGUGCGAAUGCUGACAUAAGUAACGAUAAAGCGGGUGAAAAGCCCGCUCGCCGGAAGACCAAGGGUUCCUGUCCAACGUUAAUCGGGGCAGGGUGAGUCGACCCCUAAGGCGAGGCCGAAAGGCGUAGUCGAUGGGAAACGGGUUAAUAUUCCCGUACUUGGUGUUACUGCGAAGGGGGGACGGAGAAGGCUAUGUUGGCCGGGCGACGGUUGUCCCGGUUUAAGCGUGUAGGUGUGUGUUCCAGGUAAAUCCGGUUCACUUUAACACUGAGGCGUGACGACGAGGCACUACGGUGCUGAAGCAACAAAUGCCCUGCUUCCAGGAAAAGCCUCUAAGCAUCAGGUAACACGAAAUCGUACCCCAAACCGACACAGGUGGUCAGGUAGAGAAUACCAAGGCGCUUGAGAGAACUCGGGUGAAGGAACUAGGCAAAAUGGUGCCGUAACUUCGGGAGAAGGCACGCUGACACGUAGGUGAAGUGAUUUACUCAUGGAGCUGAAGUCAGUCGAAGAUACCAGCUGGCUGCAACUGUUUAUUAAAAACACAGCACUGUGCAAACACGAAAGUGGACGUAUACGGUGUGACGCCUGCCCGGUGCCGGAAGGUUAAUUGAUGGGGUCAGCGCAAGCGAAGCUCCUGAUCGAAGCCCCGGUAAACGGCGGCCGUAACUAUAACGGUCCUAAGGUAGCGAAAUUCCUUGUCGGGUAAGUUCCGACCUGCACGAAUGGCGUAAUGAUGGCCAGGCUGUCUCCACCCGAGACUCAGUGAAAUUGAACUCGCUGUGAAGAUGCAGUGUACCCGCGGCAAGACGGAAAGACCCCGUGAACCUUUACUAUAGCUUGACACUGAACAUUGAGCCUUGAUGUGUAGGAUAGGUGGGAGGCUUUGAAGUGUGGACGCCAGUCUGCAUGGAGCCGACCUUGAAAUACCACCCUUUAAUGUUUGAUGUUCUAACGUGGACCCGUGAUCCGGGUUGCGGACAGUGUCUGGUGGGUAGUUUGACUGGGGCGGUCUCCUCCUAAAGAGUAACGGAGGAGCACGAAGGUUGGCUAAUCCUGGUCGGACAUCAGGAGGUUAGUGCAAUGGCAUAAGCCAGCUUGACUGCGAGCGUGACGGCGCGAGCAGGUGCGAAAGCAGGUCAUAGUGAUCCGGUGGUUCUGAAUGGAAGGGCCAUCGCUCAACGGAUAAAAGGUACUCCGGGGAUAACAGGCUGAUACCGCCCAAGAGUUCAUAUCGACGGCGGUGUUUGGCACCUCGAUGUCGGCUCAUCACAUCCUGGGGCUGAAGUAGGUCCCAAGGGUAUGGCUGUUCGCCAUUUAAAGUGGUACGCGAGCUGGGUUUAGAACGUCGUGAGACAGUUCGGUCCCUAUCUGCCGUGGGCGCUGGAGAACUGAGGGGGGCUGCUCCUAGUACGAGAGGACCGGAGUGGACGCAUCACUGGUGUUCGGGUUGUCAUGCCAAUGGCACUGCCCGGUAGCUAAAUGCGGAAGAGAUAAGUGCUGAAAGCAUCUAAGCACGAAACUUGCCCCGAGAUGAGUUCUCCCUGAGACUUUAGGUCUCCUGAAGGAACGUUGAAGACGACGACGUUGAUAGGCCGGGUGUGUAAGCGCAGCGAUGCGUUGAGCUAACCGGUACUAAUGAACCGUGAGGCUUAACCUUACAACGCCGAAG
This 2366-nucleotide ribosomal RNA is filed under the name Salmonella enterica subsp. enterica serovar Minnesota. Its description in RNAcentral is "partial 23S ribosomal RNA". It matches the Rfam family "Bacterial large subunit ribosomal RNA", at positions 593 to 2925 of the family's 2925-position model. The record is from RNAcentral. Lineage: Bacteria; Pseudomonadati; Pseudomonadota; Gammaproteobacteria; Enterobacterales; Enterobacteriaceae.